AAUUCAUUGCAAGUUUGGAAAAUCUGUUGCAGAACUUCAGAUAGUUCAGCUGAUUUCCAUUGAAACACUCGGACCAUGUAGCCUGUUGCCGUUGUCAAACUCUUGUAUGGUAAACGCUUAUCAUCCUCUGCCACACCAUUAUCUUGAGGUAAUAUAUUUAUCCCUUCAAGUAGCUCAAGAAUCUUGCUUAUCUGUAUGCUCACAUUACUCUCCAAUUUCUGAUCAGUCUCAUUCGCAGUUGAGAUGUCAUUUGCAAUUCCUGUAUCUGAUGCUUCUUCUAGGUUGAAAGAUUUAUUUGAGGCUUGCCUGCUUACUUUUGGGGAAUGUGUUGUUGCAUCAAGAUGGCUUCGACUGCAUUUUUUGUUAAAAUACAUAGAGUCCGAGCUAUUAUGCUUCAAAGCAGCCUUCAUAUCCUCCAAUACUUCACGAGGGCUUAUUUUCAAUGCUUUGCAGUACUCUAAAAGCAUCUUCAGCAAGUCAUCCAGCCGCUUGGGAAAUCUGUCGGCUGAAGUGGUUUCAGACUGAAUAUCCUGGUCUGAAGCCAAAGCUUCUGAUCCAUUGCUAUUAACUGGAACCAUCUCACUAGCGACUAUUGGCAACA
This 601-nucleotide long non-coding RNA is filed under the name Salvia miltiorrhiza (redroot sage). RNAcentral's name for it is "long non-coding RNA (SMIL_LNC006733)". The record is from RNAcentral. Lineage: Eukaryota; Viridiplantae; Streptophyta; Magnoliopsida; Lamiales; Lamiaceae.